UACGUAGGUGGCAAGCGUUGUUCGGAUUUAUGGGGCGUAAAGGGCGCGUAGGCGGUUUCGUAAGUCCCGUGUGAAAGCCCCCGGCUCAACUGGGGAAUUGCACGGGAAACUGCGAGGCUUGAGUUCGGGAGAGGGAAGCGGAAUUCCGGGUGUAGCGGUGAAAUGCGUAGAUAUCCGGAGGAACACCGGUGGCGAAGGCGGCUUCCUGGACCGACACUGACGCUGAGGCGCGAAAGCUAGGGGAGCAAACAGG
RNAcentral lists this ribosomal RNA (253 nucleotides) under uncultured bacterium. RNAcentral describes it as "partial 16S ribosomal RNA". It matches the Rfam family "Bacterial small subunit ribosomal RNA", at positions 524 to 776 of the family's 1533-position model. The record is from RNAcentral.